CAAUAGCGUAUAUUAAAGUUGUUGCAGUUAAAAAGCUCGUAGUUGGACCUUGGACCUGGACAGGCGGUCCGCCUCACGGCGUGUACUGUCUUGCUGGGUCUUUCCUCUUGGUGAUCUGUUGUUUCGGCAGCAGGGAACCAGGACUUUUACUUUGAAAAAAUUAGAGUGUUCAAAGCAGGCUCGACGCCGGAAUAUAUUAGCAUGGAAUAAUAAAAUAGGACGUGCGGUUCUAUUUUGUUGGUUUUUGGAAUCGCCGUAAUGAUUAAUAGGGACAGUCGGGGGCAUUAGUACUCACAUGCUAGAGGUGAAAUUCUUGGAUUUUGUGAAGACUAACUUCUGCGAAAGCAUUUGCCAAGGAUGCUUUCAUUAA
This 370-nucleotide ribosomal RNA is filed under the name uncultured eukaryote. RNAcentral's name for it is "partial 18S ribosomal RNA". It matches the Rfam family "Eukaryotic small subunit ribosomal RNA", at positions 592 to 976 of the family's 1831-position model. The record is from RNAcentral.